UGAAAUUAUUAACAAGAUAAUAAACAAUAAUAUACCUACUGUUGUGUAUUUUUAAAAAAUAAAUUAAUUGAUAAUUUAAAAAUUAAUAAUCAUGAGUACCUCAGAGGCAGAAACAGUCAGUGAUCUCAUACAAAAAAUGAUAAUGUCAAUGUGUGGUGAACAAAAUCCAGAAAUUAUCAGACGUUUUAUGAGAUACUCACUUGGUUUAUUAUCAUCAACACAAGGAGUUGAAAAAUUUCAUGAAGAUGAAAUAUCAAUAACAAAUCAAAUAACAAAUAAAUUAACACCAAGAGAUUCAAUAAUAUUUGAUAAAUUACAUAGUGAUCUUAAAGAUAGACCAUUAAAAAAUCGUAUUGGUGUAUUAUCAUUUCUUCUUCAUAUGCGUCAAUUAGAUGAAAUAACAAAAGAUAAAUUUUCAAUUUAUGAUAUGAGACUUGGGCUAACAUCACCAGUUGCAUCAACAAGUGCACAAACACCACAUGGUUAUCAACAAAAUGCUCAAAUAGUAUCAUUAACAACACCAGAUUCAAGUAAUCAAUCAACACCAAUAAAUACAUGUAGAUUAUUUAGUGAAGAUUGUAUAUCAGAAGAUGUACUUGUACAAGAAUUAAUAUAUUCAUUUCAAGGUAUUGAAGGUAGAAUAUUAAAAUUAGAUUCAACAUAUGGUUUUCAAAUUGAUUUAACAUCAAAUAUAAAUAGAUAUCAUAAACAAGCUGUAUUAAGAUUAAGUGAAUUAGGAUAUUUACAUAAUGUUGUUAGACGUGGAUUAGAUGAAAUAACAUUAAAUUGUGCUGGUAGAGUUGCUGAUAGUCUUGUUGCUGUAUUACAUAAAGAAUUAUCUGAAUAUUAUAGAUUAAUAGCAAUAAUGCAAGAAGAAGUUAAUAGAUCAAAUGGUACAAUGGGUUAUGAAACAGUUACAUUAUCACAUUUACAUUUAUGGGCAUAUGAUCCAUUAGAUAAUUUAAAAUGGCUAGCAAGUAUUGUACGUUCAUGUAAAAAUCAAAAAGGUGGUGCAUUAGCAUCAGCUGUUUAUGAAUUUAGUAAUCAUGGUAAUCCAAAAGUUGAAAAACUUGUUAAACGAAUACUUGAAAGUGUUUGUAAACCAUUAUAUAAUAUGCUUAUACGUUGGAUAACAGAUGGUAUACUUGAUGAUCCAUAUCAAGAAUUUUUUAUUGAAGCAAGAAUUAAUGUUGUUGGUGAUAGAAUGUGGCAUGAAAAAUAUUUUGUUAGAGAUUCAAUGGUACCAAUAUUUAUAACAAAAUCACAAGCUAAAAAAAUACUUGGUACUGGUAAAAGUAUUAAUUUUUUACGUGAAAUAUGUAAAGAUUCAACACCACUACAUGGACGUGAAAAUUAUAUGCUUUAUGAUAAUGAUGAUGAUAGUAAUUGUAAUAGCAAUAAUAAAUGUCAUGUUGAAACAUUUUUUGAUAUGGAUCCAGAUGGACCACUUCAAACAAUGAUGAAUGCUGCAUAUAAAGAAACAUCAACAAGAGUUGUUGAAUCACUUACAAAAGAAUAUCAAUUGAUGGAUCAUAUACAGGGUAUAAAAGGUUAUUUAUUACUUGGUCAAGGACAUUUUGUACAACAUUUAAUGCAUUUAUUAGAACCAGAAUUAGCUAAACCAGCAAAUUCAUUAUAUCCACAUAAUAUAUCAUCAAUAUUAGAAACAGCAAUACGUGCAACAUGUACUAAAAUUGAAGAUAUUGAUGUACAAAGACGUCUUGAUGUUAGAUUACUUCAAUCAUCUGAAAAUGAUUCUGGAUGGGAAGUUUUCAUUUUGGAUUAUAAUGUAUCUGGACCAAUUGGAACAAUAUUAGAACCAUGUCGUGAAACAUAUCAAACUGUAUUUUUUUCAUUAUGGAAAGCAAAACGUAUGGAAUAUAUAUUAUCAACAAUAUGGAAACAUGAAAUAACAUCAGCUAAAAUGUUUCGUAAAAUGCCUGAAGUAUUACCAAUACAAAAUUUAAUUCAUGUUAUAACAAGUAGUAUGGUACAUCUUGUUCAUCAAAUGCAAUAUUAUUUAUUAUUUGAAGUUGUUGAAUGUUCAUGGGAUGUAUUUGCUAAUAAUUUACAACAAGCAUCAUCACUUGAUGAUAUUAUUGUUGCACAUAAUUUUUUUGUUGAAUCAGUACGUCGUGGUACAUUACUUGAUGAAGAUUCAAAAGAAUUAAGAGAUCAUUUACAUGCUGUUUAUGGUCCAAUAUUAAGUUUACAAACACUUGAAGAAACAUUUUUAGCAAGAACAAGUCAAGAAUAUGAAGCAAGAAUUGAAAAUAAACGUUUUAUUAAUGAUGAAAGUGAUAAAACAAAAACAUGGGGUAGAACAAAUACACUUGAUAUACAAAAUGCUGAAAGACAAAAUACAUUUAAUAAAUAUUUAUCAACAUUAUCAAGACAGCUUAAAUUAUUAUCAAAAACUUAUCAAGAUCGUGUUAAAAAAUUUUUAUUAAUGCUUGCAUCUGCUGAAAAUGUAUCACUUCAAUUACUAAGUGUUAGACUUGAUUUUAAUGAACAUUAUAAAAGUAAAGAUAGUAGUCUUCUUGCACCAUUGACAUAUCGUUGUCAAAGUGAUCAUUCAUUUGCCAUUACCAAGUGACAGCCAUCAUUUAAAAAAAUUAUUAAACAAUCAUCAUAUAUAACAUUAUUAAUGAAUGCUAUAUGAAAAAAACCAUGAGUUAGUAAACAAAUUAUUUAUUUAGAAAUGAAAAUGCCCUUGACUUCAAGCUUUAAUGAUUUGCAUAAAUUUCAGUAUACAAAAAACAUCUAGAAAAUUAUAAAAU
Aphidius gifuensis is the source of this 2780-nucleotide RNA transcript. It is a transcript of the gene named gamma-tubulin complex component 3, with no coding region annotated. The transcript is spliced from 3 exons. The record is from RefSeq and is a predicted model, not a curated record. Lineage: Eukaryota; Metazoa; Arthropoda; Insecta; Hymenoptera; Braconidae.